AACGAACGCUGGCGGCAUGCCUAACACAUGCAAGUCGAACGCCUGUAGCAAUACAGGAGUGGCAGACGGGUGAGUAACACGUAGGAAUCUACCCAGUAGUCUGGAAUAACCGCGGGAAACUGCGGCUAAUACCGGAUACGCCCCCGGGGGAAAGGAGCAAUCCACUAUUGGAGGAGCCUGCGUCCGAUUAGCUAGUUGGCGGGGUAAUGGCCCACCAAGGCGACGAUCGGUAGCUGGUUUGAGAGAACGACCAGCCACACUGGGACUGAGACACGGCCCAGACUCCUACGGGAGGCAGCAGUUGGGAAUAUUGGACAAUGGGGGAAACCCUGAUCCAGCAAUGCCGCGUGGGUGAUGAAGGCCUUUGGGUUGUAAAGCCCUUUUGGCGGGGACGAAAAGGCUGUGGCUAAUAUCCAUAGCUGCUGACGGUACCUGAAGAAUAAGCACCGGCUAACUACGUGCCAGCAGCCGCG
Molecule: ribosomal RNA, 473 nt
Filed under: uncultured bacterium
Lineage: Bacteria
Description: bacterial SSU rRNA
Rfam family: Bacterial small subunit ribosomal RNA
Source: RNAcentral